This 496-nucleotide ribosomal RNA is filed under the name uncultured bacterium. Its description in RNAcentral is "partial 16S ribosomal RNA". It matches the Rfam family "Bacterial small subunit ribosomal RNA", at positions 28 to 506 of the family's 1533-position model. The record is from RNAcentral.
GAUGAACGCUGGCGGCGUGCCUAAUACAUUCAAGUCGAGCGAACGGACGAGAAGCUUGCUUCUCUGAUGUUAGCGGCGGACGGGUGAGUAACACGUGGAUAACCUACCUAUAAGACUGGGAUAACUUCGGGAAACCGGAGCUAGUACCGGAUAAUAUUUUGAACCGCAUGGUUCAAAAGUGAAAGACGGUCUUGCUGUCACUUAUAGAUGGAUCCGCGCUGCAUUAGCUAGUUGGUAAGGUAACGGCUUACCAAGGCAACGAUGCAUAGCCGACCUGAGAGGGUGAUCGGCCACACUGGAACUGAGACACGGUCCAGACUCCUACGGGAGGCAGCAGUAGGGAAUCUUCCGCAAUGGGCGAAAGCCUGACGGAGCAACGCCGCGUGAGUGAUGAAGGUCUUCGGAUCGUAAAACUCUGUUAUUAGGGAAGAACAUAUGUGUAAGUAACUGUGCACAUCUUGACGGUACCUAAUCAGAAAGCCACGGCUAACUACGU